CUGCACAGUGCACCCCGGGCUUCUCCGAAGACUUCAUUGACGAUGAAGCCCCAUUGCGUGUGCUAAAAUGUGCCAUUCAGUGUUGCAGUUUUGUUCGAUACUUCCAAUGGCUGAUCUGUGUCAAAGCAAUGGCUAGAUCC
This is a small nucleolar RNA of Macadamia integrifolia, 140 nucleotides long. RefSeq annotates it as small nucleolar RNA snoR134. NCBI's taxonomy places the organism in Eukaryota, Viridiplantae, Streptophyta, Magnoliopsida, Proteales, Proteaceae. The record is from RefSeq and is a predicted model, not a curated record. The transcript has a single exon.